CUGAGCCAGCGACGCCCUCCAUUCACUCUCCGCGCCCGUUCUCCGGCUGUCCUCCCGUUCCGCUGCCCGCCCUGCCACCAUGACGGAACAGGCCAUCUCCUUCGCCAAGGACUUCUUGGCCGGAGGCAUCGCCGCCGCCAUCUCCAAGACGGCCGUGGCUCCGAUCGAGCGGGUCAAGCUGCUGCUGCAGCAGGGCGGGAUGUCCCAGCGCUUCGAGAGGCCCAGGGAGGAUCACGUGAGCUCAGGAGUUUGAGAGCAGCUUGGUCAUCGUAGCAAGACUCCAUCUCUAAAAGUCCAGCACGCCAGCAAGCAGAUCGCCGCCGACAAGCAGUACAAGGGCAUCGUGGACUGCAUUGUCCGCAUCCCCAAGGAGCAGGGCGUGCUGUCCUUCUGGAGGGGCAACCUUGCCAACGUCAUCCGCUACUUCCCCACUCAAGCCCUCAACUUCGCCUUCAAGGAUAAGUACAAGCAGAUCUUCCUGGGGGGCGUGGACAAGCACACGCAGUUCUGGAGGUACUUUGCGGGCAACCUGGCCUCCGGCGGUGCGGCCGGCGCGACCUCCCUCUGCUUUGUGUACCCGCUGGAUUUCGCCAGAACCCGCCUGGCAGCGGACGUGGGAAAGUCAGGCACAGAGCGCGAGUUCCGAGGCCUGGGAGACUGCCUGGUGAAGAUCACCAAGUCUGACGGCAUCCGGGGCCUGUACCAGGGCUUCAGCGUCUCCGUGCAGGGCAUCAUCAUCUACCGGGCGGCCUACUUCGGCGUGUAUGAUACGGCCAAGGGCAUGCUCCCGACCCCAAGAACACGCACAUCGUGGUGAGCUGGAUGAUUGGCCAGACCGUGACGGGCCUGGGCCG
RNAcentral lists this small RNA (854 nucleotides) under Pan troglodytes (chimpanzee). Its description in RNAcentral is "processed transcript". The record is from RNAcentral. Lineage: Eukaryota; Metazoa; Chordata; Mammalia; Primates; Hominidae.